RNAcentral lists this ribosomal RNA (803 nucleotides) under uncultured bacterium. RNAcentral's name for it is "bacterial SSU rRNA". It matches the Rfam family "Bacterial small subunit ribosomal RNA", at positions 60 to 864 of the family's 1533-position model. The record is from RNAcentral.
AGUCGAGCGAGCACUUUUGCGGAUUUCUUCGGAUUGAAGCAAUUGUGACUGAGCGGCGGACGGGUGAGUAACGCGUGGGUAACCUGCCUCAUACAGGGGGAUAACAGUUGGAAACGGCUGCUAAUACCGCAUAAGCGCACAGUACCGCAUGGUACCGUGUGAAAAACUCCGGUGGUAUGAGAUGGACCCGCGUCUGAUUAGGUAGUUGGUGGGGUAACGGCCUACCAAGCCGACGAUCAGUAGCCGACCUGAGAGGGUGACCGGCCACAUUGGGACUGAGACACGGCCCAAACUCCUACGGGAGGCAGCAGUGGGGAAUAUUGCACAAUGGGGGAAACCCUGAUGCAGCGACGCCGCGUGAGCGAUGAAGUAUUUCGGUAUGUAAAGCUCUAUCAGCAGGGAAGAAAAUGACGGUACCUGACUAAGAAGCCCCGGCUAACUACGUGCCAGCAGCCGCGGUAAUACGUAGGGGGCAAGCGUUAUCCGGAUUUACUGGGUGUAAAGGGAGCGUAGACGGCAUGGCAAGCCAGAUGUGAAAGCCCGGGGCUCAACCCCGGGACUGCAUUUGGAACUGUCAGGCUAGAGUGUCGGAGAGGAAAGCGGAAUUCCUAGUGUAGCGGUGAAAUGCGUAGAUAUUAGGAGGAACACCAGUGGCGAAGGCGGCUUUCUGGACGAUGACUGACGUUGAGGCUCGAAAGCGUGGGGAGCAAACAGGAUUAGAUACCCUGGUAGUCCACGCCGUANACGAUGAAUACUAGGNGUCGGGUGGCAAAGCCAUUCGGUGCCGCAGCAAACGCAAUAAG